AUUGAACGCUGGCGGCAGGCCUAACACAUGCAAGUCGAGCGGUAACAGAGAUAGCUUGCUAUCUGCUGACGAGCGGCGGACGGGUGCGUAACGCGUAGGAAUUUGCCCGAUAGAGGGGGAUAGCCCGGAGAAAUCCGGAUUAAUACCGCAUGCCUUCUAAGGAAGAAAGCAGGGGAUCUUCGGACCUUGCACUAUCGGAUGAGCCUGCGUCGGAUUAGCUAGUUGGCAGGGUAAAUGCCUACCAAGGCGACGAUCCGUAGCUGGUCUGAGAGGAUGAUCAGCCACACUGGGACUGAGACACGGCCUAGACUCCUACGGGA
This 320-nucleotide ribosomal RNA is filed under the name uncultured Gammaproteobacteria bacterium. RNAcentral's name for it is "bacterial SSU rRNA". It matches the Rfam family "Bacterial small subunit ribosomal RNA", at positions 30 to 346 of the family's 1533-position model. The record is from RNAcentral. Lineage: Bacteria; Pseudomonadati; Pseudomonadota; Gammaproteobacteria.